CCUGAUUCCAUCUCGAACUCAGAAGUGAAACGCACGUACGCCGAUGAUAGUGUGGGGUCUCCCC
RNAcentral lists this ribosomal RNA (64 nucleotides) under Legionella spiritensis. The record is from RNAcentral. Lineage: Bacteria; Pseudomonadati; Pseudomonadota; Gammaproteobacteria; Legionellales; Legionellaceae.